RNAcentral lists this ribosomal RNA (446 nucleotides) under uncultured bacterium. RNAcentral's name for it is "partial 16S ribosomal RNA". It matches the Rfam family "Bacterial small subunit ribosomal RNA", at positions 338 to 795 of the family's 1533-position model. The record is from RNAcentral.
CCUACGGGCGGCAGCAGUAGGGAAUUUUCGGCAAUGGGGGGAACCCUGACCGAGCAACGCCGCGUGAACGAAGAAGUUAUUCGUAAUGUAAAGUUCUUUUAACAGGGAAGAAAGAGAAAUUUGACGGUACCUUAAGAAUAAGCUCCGGCUAACUACGUGCCAGCAGCCGCGGUAAUACGUAGGGAGCGAGCGUUAUCCGGAAGUAUUGGGCGUAAGGGGUGCGUAGAUGGCAUAGUAAGUCUUUUGUAAAAAUGCUGGGCUCAACCCAGUAGAGCAAAAGAUACUGCAAAGCUAGAGUAUGACAGAGGCAAGUGGAACUACAUGUGUAGCGGUAAAAUGCGUAAAUAUAUGUAAGAACACCAGUGGCGAAGGCGGCUUGCUGGGUCGAUACUGACAUUGAGGCACGAAAGCGUGGGGAGCAAACAGGAUUAGAUACCCGAGUAGUC